This 307-nucleotide ribosomal RNA is filed under the name uncultured bacterium. RNAcentral's name for it is "bacterial SSU rRNA". It matches the Rfam family "Bacterial small subunit ribosomal RNA", at positions 774 to 1076 of the family's 1533-position model. The record is from RNAcentral.
AGCUAAUAGAUACCCCGGUAGUCCACGCUGUAAACGAUGGGCACUAGGUGUCGCGGGUAUUGACCCCUGCGGUGCCGCAGCUAACGCAUUAAGUGCCCCGCCUGGGGAAUACGGCCGCAAGGUUAAAAACUCAAAGGAAUUGACGGGGGCCCGCACAAGCGGUGGAGCAUGUGGUUCAAUUCGACGCAACGCGAAGAACCUUACCCGGGCUAGACAACAGAGGACCGGCUUAGAAAUAAGCUCUUCCCUUCGGGGACCUCUGGUUCAGGUGCUGCAUGGCUGUCGUCAGCUCGUGUCGUGAGAUGUU